RNAcentral lists this long non-coding RNA (1182 nucleotides) under Homo sapiens (human). Its description in RNAcentral is "HSALNT0319156". The record is from RNAcentral. Lineage: Eukaryota; Metazoa; Chordata; Mammalia; Primates; Hominidae.
AGUUGAGAACCGUUACUUGACUGGUACCUCCAGCCCACCAGCAGGCAAUGAUGGCAUCAGACUAGAGGAUCACCAGUAAAUCAUUGUAAACAAGCGUGGAAAGAGAGAAAGUCCACUUUAAGCGAUGGAAAAUCAGCCCCAAUUCUGAAGGAACAACCAUGAACAGAUGAUUUAAGGAGAAUCAAUUCUUUGCUCUUUGCAGAAGGAGCCAACAGAGUGAGAUGAAGGGGACAACUUCAGAUACUCAGGCAGAAGCAUAAGUCCCCACCUGCUGACCUGCUGCCUGCUAUCUUAACACGAAUUCUUCAUCUGAAUGGAUGAGCUUUUCACAGAUCCUUCCACCCCACUUGCUGAUACAGCUUCAACAAAGAAGGGUGUUCACCAACUGACUACAAGAAUCAUUGCUAACCAGGGAUGACUCAUUCUCACAUCCAUCCUAAAUAGACUUCCUUGGAUACAAAAAAUCCAGAGUUUGCCGUAUCUCCAUGGACACUGUCAUUUAGACAGGACACUUACUUCUUGGGAAACUCACUUCCAUUUUCCUAAUAAGGUUCCCUUUGAAGACUAAGAAUUUCUCCAAGACAAAAUUCAUGUAAGCCAAAAUACCAGACAUCAGGCCUGUAAUUGUGGUCACCCUGGCCACAGCCAAGUUGUCACCUUCACUCACGAUCAUCUUUCUGCCCUCUGCUACUUGUAGAAUAAUGAUCAUAAAGUAUUGUUGUCUGAAGCCCCUUUAGAAAAGUUGAUUUACAGCAGCCCAUGAGAGAGGUAGAUUAGAGAUGACCAAUGUCCUGAGAACACCAAGAAGCACUCAUCUUUGAUUCUCAGGGCUUGACAUUUCAGAAACAAAUCCAGACACAUUAUAAUAAUGACCCUGGUCCAUUGUGAGCCCAUUAGAAAACACUCACAAAUAAGUAUUCAAAAUUUUCCAGUUAUUUUGACUCCUAAAAAUGUCUUCCAAGAUAUAUCAAAGUUUCCGUAAUUUUGCAAUCAACUUGGUUUUUAUUUAAACCAAGUAGCAACUCUCUCUGUAGCAACCCUGACUUUUCUUGUUAUUAAAUCACUCUAUAAUUAAAUAUAAAGUUAUUGGUGACAUUCACAGAAAAUCCUAGAGAGUAUGGAGUUCUUGCUACAGAAGAUAUACUUUAUUGAAAUGUAAAAGAAGUCAGUUAAAUUUAUAAU